GGGGGCGACCUGGUUUCGACAGGGGUUACGAAGCAGCGCAGGGCAUGCCGAGGACUGGUGACCUCGUAAAUCCAGCCGGAAAUCAAUAACUGCUAACGACAACUCGUACGCAGUAGCCGCUUAAUUGCGGCUUCCCUCACACCGUCUCGUCCCUGGGGCGGGCCAGCGAUGGCGCGUGAGGUCAUUUACAGGGAAUCGCGUGAUGCCGGGUCACCUGGCAUGGCGUUAAAUCUAGGUGACUCGCCUUGUCGCAGCGUGUGCGUCCGCGUCGGCAAGGUCAAAACCAAAUGACGACACUACGCAUGUAGAACUGUCUGUAGAGGGCUUCUGGACGCGGGUUCGAUUCCCGCCGCCUCCACCA
Molecule: transfer-messenger RNA, 361 nt
Filed under: Microcystis wesenbergii
Lineage: Bacteria; Bacillati; Cyanobacteriota; Cyanophyceae; Chroococcales; Microcystaceae
Also listed under: 1 other name
Description: Standard tmRNA
Rfam family: transfer-messenger RNA
About the family: Bacterial tmRNA, also known as 10Sa RNA or SsrA, is named for its dual tRNA and mRNA-like properties. Its role is to liberate the mRNA from a stalled ribosome.
Source: RNAcentral